AAAACUUACCAGGUCAAGACAUGGGCGUGAUUGACAGGCUAAUGACUUUUCUCGAUUCCAUGGAUGGUGGUGCAUGGUCGCACUUAGUUGGUGCAGUGAUUUGUCAGGUUUAUUCCGGUAACGAACGAGACCUCGGCCUUGUAAAUAGCUAUGCUGCUUACAGGGACAUUGGCGGCUACGCCAAGGAAGCUCGAGGCAAUUGCAGAUCUGGAAUGCCCUUAGAUGUCCUGGGUCGCACGCGUGCUACAAUGACGCCACGAACGAGCUUGCGUGAUGAAAGUUACGCAUAAUCAGCAGUCGGCGUCUUAAGGGAUAGUCUCUUGUAACUGUGGGACUCCAACUAGGAAUGUCUCGUAAGCACAAGUCAACAUCUUGUAUUGAUUACGUCCCUGCUCUUUGUACACACCGCCCGUCGCUCCUACCGAUCGAGUGUUUAGGUGAAUUUGAUGGACGUAAGGAAGUCAAAUAAACCUGAGCACUAGAGAAGAGAAGUCUACAUC
This 500-nucleotide ribosomal RNA is filed under the name uncultured Myrionecta. RNAcentral's name for it is "bacterial SSU rRNA". It matches the Rfam family "Eukaryotic small subunit ribosomal RNA", at positions 1210 to 1795 of the family's 1831-position model. Lineage: Eukaryota; Ciliophora; Litostomatea; Cyclotrichida; Mesodiniidae. The record is from RNAcentral.